This 373-nucleotide ribosomal RNA is filed under the name uncultured organism. Its description in RNAcentral is "partial 16S ribosomal RNA". It matches the Rfam family "Bacterial small subunit ribosomal RNA", at positions 527 to 896 of the family's 1533-position model. The record is from RNAcentral.
GUAGGUGGCAAGCGUUGUCCGGAAUUAUUGGGCGUAAAGCGCGCGCAGGCGGUUCUUUAAGUCUGAUGUGAAAGCCCACGGGCUCAACCGUAGAGGGUCAUUGGAAACUGGAGAACUUGAGUACAGAAGAGGAAAGCGGAAUUCCACGUGUAGCGGUGAAAUGCGUAGAGAUGUGGAGGAACACCAGUGGCGAAGGCGGCUUUCUGGUCUGUAACUGACGCUGAGGCGCGAAAGCGUGGGGAGCAAACAGGAUUAGAUACCCUGGUAGUCCACGCCGUAAACGAUGAGUGCUAAGUGUUAGGGGGUUUCCGCCCCUUAGUGCUGCAGCUAACGCAUUAAGCACUCCGCCUGGGGAGUACGGCCGCAAAGGCUG